Cyprinus carpio (common carp) is the source of this 696-nucleotide long non-coding RNA. The record is from Ensembl. Lineage: Eukaryota; Metazoa; Chordata; Actinopteri; Cypriniformes; Cyprinidae.
CGCUGCACAACAUCUUCACACACUGACAAGUGUGACAUCAUAUACCUCUAUAAAUAAAUGGCGGAAUAUUCUGUGAUGUCCAGUUCGCUGGGCAGUUACGUUCCAAUAGAACAAAUGUCUGAAGCCAUAAGAGAAACAUGUGCAGAGCAGGGGGGCGCAAGGAUUGGAAUUGAGAACCACUACUCUACACUGCUCAAAACUCGCGUUUGAAUCAUCAGUAGCAAGUUCUUUACAUAGCUAAACGUACUUACUUCUCUCCCAGGAUCAGGAAACAGUCCUCCAUAAAAUGUGCUGCACACAUCUGAAUAUUUGGGUUAAACUGUUCUGAAACAGUGUUGUAAACACAACUUAACCACUGAUUUUUAGUCAUGUCAUCUUUUGGAAGGCCAAACAAAGAAUUUUCUCCAGACAUGGCACCGGCAGCAACAGCGAGAAUCAAAGGGUGGACAGGAGAAGGAAAAAACGUGACAUUUCAUGGAGGUGUCCUGGAAGAGCUUAAAGGAAAGCUUCUGCAGAUAUGACAGCAGUUGUCAUGUUCGGUCUCUGUGGGUGGCACAGGGAGGCACAGAACAGAAAGUAAAGCAAGUGUCUGGACUCUUCUUUAGAAUGACUGACAUGUUGGGAACACAGAGAAACUCUAGAGAGAGGAUAUAAGAACACAUUAGCUCUGUUUUAAAAUAGUGAGCUCCCCCGCUG